GGUCUUAUAGCUCAGUUGGUCAAAGCGUCGUACUAAUAUUAUAAUACAAUUAUAACAUCGGUAAUGCGAAGGCCGUGAGUUUAAGCCUCACUGGGACCA
Non-coding RNA from Xylaria acuta, 99 nucleotides. The record is from the annotation of a GenBank genome assembly. NCBI's taxonomy places the organism in Eukaryota, Fungi, Ascomycota, Sordariomycetes, Xylariales, Xylariaceae.